This is a long non-coding RNA of Manacus vitellinus (golden-collared manakin), 140 nucleotides long. RefSeq lists it as uncharacterized. The transcript is spliced from 3 exons. The record is from RefSeq and is a predicted model, not a curated record. NCBI's taxonomy places the organism in Eukaryota, Metazoa, Chordata, Aves, Passeriformes, Pipridae.
GGGCAAGCGAGGCAAGAUGGGCCACCAGCCCCCACGGGGUCCCCGAGGGCACAAGGGCUCCCCAGGUGCCAAAGGGCUUCCAGGACCCCAGGGCCCCCAGGGCCCCUAUGGCAUCCCAGGGCUGAAGGGCAUGAAAGGAG